AUAAAGAGAAACACAAAGGAACAACUGCUUUCUGAUUUGAAUGUAGGGAGAGAAGUCUGGCUUCGUAUUUUUAAAAAUCAUCUAAUUUGCAUCACCUGGGCCUCGCUUUUCAUACGACGACAAGUGUGUUCAUCAUACUCAAAAAUAAGUGACUGAUUCAUGACAACCCAGCAAAAGAGUGGAGUCAGAACAAGAGCAAGUCAUCAGGACACCAGCUCCAAAGGACAGGCUUCUGUCUCUAUUUUCUAACCGGCAGUGACAAGCUUUUCAAAAACCCCAGGCCAGCUGCAAGUCAGUGAUAAAGGGCACAGUGAGCCCUGCCACUCCAACAGAGGCAAGCCCAGAUGGGCGAGGCCACCAGCGACCUCCACAGCGAGGGAAGCCUCCCUGGUGUCAAGCCUUGGGGGUUGGCAAGAAGCAAGGACCAGAGCUCCAGGUUCCAGAUGAAGAAGCUGAUGCUCAAAGGAGACAGGCAGGAUAGGCCCAAGAUCACAAAGGUCACCCCAAGAAUCAAGCCCUCUCUGCUAAGUCAGCAUGCUUUCUCCGGCCACAUCCAAAGCCAGGCCCUGCUGAUGCGUCUUCCAAAACAUCUCCCUCGCCCCACAACCCCCCAUGUCGGUCACGGACACACCACCCUGCCCAGCUUGCUGCCUCUAUGACACCACUCGCCACUGAGACCUCACCUGGCCUACCGGGGAGAGGUGGCCACAGGCUGGCUGAGAGCCCACAGGGCUGGAGGCUGCCACUUUCCAGCUGUGCAGCCUGAGUGUCGCCUGCUGUAAAAGGGGACGAAGACAGACCCUGCCGGGAGGGUCACUUACAAGAAAUGAAGCACACGAAGCCCGCCCUGGAUCUGGCCUCGUCAGGACAUACACAGGGAUCCUGGAAGCAACCCCUGCCACUCCCAAGGUCAAAAUGCUCCCGGGUUGAAGACCCACAUCCAUAAUAUCUGUGUACACAAAGGUUCCCAGCAGUUUCACUCAAAAGAGCAGAAGUGGAAAGAACCCAAAUGUCCACCAACCAUGAAAGAGUGAUCAAACCAUGGCCUACUCCUGGGGCCUAUGAUGAGGGCCAUAAAAAGGGACAAGGUCCCAUGCAGGCCCCACGGUGCAUUGACCUUGAAAACACGAGGCUAGAUGAAAUUAGCCAGGUACAAAGGAGACAUGUUGUUGAUUCCACCUUUUUGGAAAUACACCACGUAGGCAAAUUCGUAGAAAUAGAAAGCAAAUUAGGGGUUGCCAGGAGCUGGGGGAGGAGGGACUGGGAACACCCCCCAAUGACAUGGGGUUUCCUUUGGAGGUCAUGAAACUGUAACAGGGGUUACCUGAUGCUCUGACUAUAUCCCUUGUGGCUUUGAAACUUGCAUAUUCUUUUUUCUUUUUCCCAAUCUUCUUUUCCCUAAACUUCUGCUCCCUGAUCUUCUCCUUUCUGAUCUCUCCCUUUUCUCAUUUUCUCUGAAUCACCUCUAUGAAAGCCCCCUUUUCCUGCAGAUGGGCAGAAUCUCAGCCUUUGGGACAGGAGUCCCUAUUUCUCCUUUGCCAGCAAAGCAAUAAACCUUCUUUUUCCUUUUUCUCAA
This is a long non-coding RNA of Marmota flaviventris (yellow-bellied marmot), 1576 nucleotides long. RefSeq lists it as uncharacterized. NCBI's taxonomy places the organism in Eukaryota, Metazoa, Chordata, Mammalia, Rodentia, Sciuridae. The record is from RefSeq and is a predicted model, not a curated record.